ACGAAGGGUGCAAGCGUUAAUCGGAAUUACUGGGCGUAAAGGGUGCGUAGGCGGUUCGUUAAGUCUGUCGUGAAAUCCCCGGGCUCAACCUGGGAAUGGCGAUGGAUACUGGCGAGCUAGAGUGUGUCAGAGGAUGGUGGAAUUCCCGGUGUAGCGGUGAAAUGCGUAGAGAUCGGGAGGAAUGCCAGUGGCGAAGGCGGCUUCCUGGCCUGCUUCUGACGCUGAGACGCGAAAGCUGGGGGAGCGAACGGGA
This 253-nucleotide ribosomal RNA is filed under the name uncultured prokaryote. RNAcentral's name for it is "partial 16S ribosomal RNA". It matches the Rfam family "Bacterial small subunit ribosomal RNA", at positions 525 to 777 of the family's 1533-position model. The record is from RNAcentral.